Molecule: transfer RNA, 92 nt
Filed under: Pseudomonadota bacterium
Lineage: Bacteria; Pseudomonadati; Pseudomonadota
Also listed under: 2 other names
Description: tRNA-Ser
Rfam family: tRNA
About the family: Transfer RNA (tRNA) molecules are approximately 80 nucleotides in length. Their secondary structure includes four short double-helical elements and three loops (D, anti-codon, and T loops). Further hydrogen bonds mediate the characteristic L-shaped molecular structure. tRNAs have two regions of fundamental functional importance: the anti-codon, which is responsible for specific mRNA codon recognition, and the 3' end, to which the tRNAs corresponding amino acid is attached (by aminoacyl-tRNA synthetases). tRNAs cope with the degeneracy of the genetic code in two manners: having more than one tRNA (with a specific anti-codon) for a particular amino acid; and 'wobble' base-pairing, i.e. permitting non-standard base-pairing at the 3rd anti-codon position.
Source: RNAcentral
GGAGAGGUGGCCGAGUGGUCGAAGGCACUCGCCUGCUAAGCGAGGAAGGGGAUAAAACCCCUUCGAGGGUUCGAAUCCCUCCCUCUCCGCCA